This 1179-nucleotide long non-coding RNA is filed under the name Vitis vinifera (wine grape). RNAcentral's name for it is "long non-coding RNA (VVIN_LNC000915)". Lineage: Eukaryota; Viridiplantae; Streptophyta; Magnoliopsida; Vitales; Vitaceae. The record is from RNAcentral.
GUUGAUGGUGUCCAGGUAACUCUCACAAGACAUGUCUUAUUUGGUAUUGUUGGGGCUACUUCUUGAUCAUUAGCUCUGUUUGACACAUUGUAUCCUGACAGUUGAUAGUUGAUGAGAUGAACAUCUUAACAACAGUCUUCUUGAAAAUUGAUCGCGAAAAGGUGUACUAUCCAAAUUCUGUUUUGGCUACCAAGCCCAUCAGCAACUUCUACAGAAGCUCGCCUAUGGGUGAUAAUGUGGAGUUCUCUAUUGCAUUUGCAACCACAGCAGAAAAGAUCGGGGCUCUAAAAGAAAGAAUAGCAAAGUAAGUCUUUUCUCCUAUUGACUAGGGUAUCAAAUUUAGGUUUGUUGGUAUUUUUCUCUCAUUCUGGGGUGUAAUGCAACAUGAAUUUUUUUAUUUUUAUUUUUUUCUGAUAGACAUCCUGCCAAAAAAAUUGAUUGAGCUAAUAACUUUGAAACAACAUGAGUUUUUUUUUUCCCUUCCAAACAAAUCAGUUCCACCACCUUCAUCCAAGCUAGACCCGAUAUGGUUCAUUCUACUUAUUUGCCCUUGUAUAAAAUUCAAAUUCGGCCUAGGGAAAUUGAACUACUAACAUUGUGGUUGCCCUACUCUUUUUCUCAUCUAGGAAAACAUCUUUGAAAGAGGUAGUAUGUCUGAAAAAUCGCAAAAUUUACCUUGUUUUUACAAUUGAUUCCUAGACUCCUAUGUAUGUGCAAUCUGAAAGAUUGAUCUAAGACUCUGGAUACUGGCCUAGUAUCCAUCAAAAUGAGGAAUACCAGCCUUGACAGGAGCAGCCAAUGGAUCCACAAAAGGAGUGCUAUGCAUUCUGAAUACAUUUUGAUGUAAUUAUACUACUCAAUUUGGAAAUUUUCUUAUCAAUUUCUUUUGCCAGGUACCUGGAGAGAAAUCCCCAAUACUGGUUUCCUGCCCACACUCUGGUAGUAAAGGAGAUUGAGAAUGUCAACAAGAUCAAGAUGACUCUAUUUGUCAAUCACACCAUCAACUUCCAAGACUAUCCAGAGAAGACUAAUCGGAGAACCGAACUGGUGUUAGAGCUGAAGAAAAUAUUUGAAGACCUAGAUAUCACAUACUACCUCCUGCCCCAAGAAAUUCAGAUCUCUAAUACCACCACGCCAGCCACAAUACACGGGCAUGCCACCAAACAUCUGUGACCCACU